UCCGAAGGGGGCUAUCGUUGCUCGGAAUCACUGGGCGUAAAGCGCACGUAGGCGGAUCUUUAAGUCAGGGGUGAAAUCCCAAGGCUCAACCUUGGAACUGCCUUUGAUACUGGGGAUCUCGAGUCCGGAAGAGGUUGGUGGAACUCCGAGUGUAGAGGUGAAAUUCGUAGAUAUUCGGAAGAACACCAGUGGCGAAGGCGGCCAACUGGUCCGGUACUGACGCUGAGGUGCGAAAGCGUGGGGAGAAAACAGG
RNAcentral lists this ribosomal RNA (253 nucleotides) under uncultured bacterium. RNAcentral describes it as "partial 16S ribosomal RNA". It matches the Rfam family "Bacterial small subunit ribosomal RNA", at positions 524 to 776 of the family's 1533-position model. The record is from RNAcentral.